This 465-nucleotide ribosomal RNA is filed under the name uncultured bacterium. RNAcentral's name for it is "partial 16S ribosomal RNA". It matches the Rfam family "Bacterial small subunit ribosomal RNA", at positions 28 to 507 of the family's 1533-position model. The record is from RNAcentral.
GACGAACGCUGGCGGCGUGCUUAACACAUGCGAGUCGAACGGAAAGGCCCUGCUUGCCGGGUACUCGAGUGGCGAACGGGUGAGUAACACGUGGGUGAUCUGCCCUGCACUUCGGGAUAAGCCUGGGAAACUGGGUCUAAUACCGGAUAGGCGCCAUUUUUAGUGUGAUGGUUGGAAAGUUUUUUCGGUGUAGGAUGAGCUCGCGGCCUAUCAGCUUGUUGGUGGGGUAAUGGCCUACCAAGGCGGCGACGGGUAGCCGGCCUGAGAGGGUGGACGGCCACAUUGGGACUGAGAUACGGCCCAGACUCCGACGGGAGGCAGCAGUGGGGAAUAUUGCACAAUGGGCGCAAGCCUGAUGCAGCGACGCCGCGUGGGGGAUGACGGCCUUCGGGUUGGAAACUCCUUUCGCUAGGGACGAAGCUUUUUGUGACGGUACCUAGAGAAGAAGCACCGGCUAACUACGUG